This 70-nucleotide transfer RNA is filed under the name Camelus bactrianus (Bactrian camel). It matches the Rfam family "tRNA". From Rfam's summary of the family: Transfer RNA (tRNA) molecules are approximately 80 nucleotides in length. Their secondary structure includes four short double-helical elements and three loops (D, anti-codon, and T loops). RNAcentral also lists the same sequence under 2 other names. Lineage: Eukaryota; Metazoa; Chordata; Mammalia; Artiodactyla; Camelidae. The record is from Rfam by way of RNAcentral.
GAGUGUAUAGCAGUGGUAGAGUGCAUGCCUAACAUGCGUAAGGUCCUGGGUUCAAACCCCAGUAGCCUCA